AAACUUCACAAUGGAGGCAACUCCGAUGAGGGAAUUCCAAGUGCUAGCACAUUAGUGUUAGCUUUUCUUAAGCAUAGAUAACUUAAGGAAUAAGGGCUGGGUAAGACGGGUGCCAGCCGCCGCGGUAAUACCCGCAGCCCAAGUGGUGGUCGAUUUUAUUGAGUCUAAAACGUUCGUAGCCGGUUUGGUAAAUCCUUGGGUAAAUCGGGAGGCUCAACUUUCCGAAUUCCGAGGAGACUGCCAAACUUGGGACCGGGAGAGGCGAGAGGUACUUCUGGGGUAGGGGUAAAAUCCUGUAAUCCUAGAAGGACCACCGGUGGCGAAGGCGUCUCGCUAGAACGGAUCCGACGGUGAGGGACGAAGCCCUGGGUCGCAAACGGGAUUAGAUACCCCGGUAGUCCAGGGUGUAAACGCUGCAGACUUGGUGUUGGGGACCCUACGUGGGUGUUCAGUGCCGGAGAGAAGUUGUUAAGUCUGCUACUUGGGGAGUACGUCCGCAAGGAUGAAACUUAAAGGAAGU
RNAcentral lists this ribosomal RNA (520 nucleotides) under uncultured bacterium. Its description in RNAcentral is "bacterial SSU rRNA". It matches the Rfam family "Archaeal small subunit ribosomal RNA", at positions 345 to 866 of the family's 1478-position model. The record is from RNAcentral.